Molecule: transfer RNA, 72 nt
Filed under: Neotoma lepida (desert woodrat)
Lineage: Eukaryota; Metazoa; Chordata; Mammalia; Rodentia; Cricetidae
Rfam family: tRNA
About the family: Transfer RNA (tRNA) molecules are approximately 80 nucleotides in length. Their secondary structure includes four short double-helical elements and three loops (D, anti-codon, and T loops). Further hydrogen bonds mediate the characteristic L-shaped molecular structure. tRNAs have two regions of fundamental functional importance: the anti-codon, which is responsible for specific mRNA codon recognition, and the 3' end, to which the tRNAs corresponding amino acid is attached (by aminoacyl-tRNA synthetases). tRNAs cope with the degeneracy of the genetic code in two manners: having more than one tRNA (with a specific anti-codon) for a particular amino acid; and 'wobble' base-pairing, i.e. permitting non-standard base-pairing at the 3rd anti-codon position.
Source: Rfam by way of RNAcentral
UGGGGUGUAGCUCAGUGGCAGAGCACUUGCCUGGCAUGCGCCAGACCCUGGGCUUAAUUCCCAGUGCUGCAA